This 437-nucleotide unclassified non-coding RNA is filed under the name Artemisia nanschanica. RNAcentral describes it as "partial external transcribed spacer". Lineage: Eukaryota; Viridiplantae; Streptophyta; Magnoliopsida; Asterales; Asteraceae. The record is from RNAcentral.
UGUUUGGUUUGUUACGUGUGGUUGGCUGCGGCGUUUGCAACAACUUCCAUGCUUUCAGACCUCUUCAGUUGUGCGGCAAGGCUUGUAUCGCCUUGAGCGUAUUGUGGGUUUUCUGUGUUGGCUACCUAAUCAACGGUAUCGUUUGGAUUGAUCAAAGUUUGAUUUCGUCUUCCGUCGCGUUUGCGGCGUGAGGUGAACCUUGAUGCGGUCUCUUUGAUCCAUNUCGUCGAAGCACAUGCUUUGACGUUGUGGCACAUUGAGCAUUGCUUGGUGUCUUGUAUACGGAACACGUAGUGGGCAUGGAUCUAACGAUUCUUGUUUGCCCUCGUAUUAGCGUAACGCUUCUCUAACACGACUUGNACCACGUUUUAGCUCGUACGGACGUGGUGCUAUGUCGCAGAGGAAUGCUACCUGGUUGAUCCUGCCAGAGUCAAGUA